CGCGGGGUAGAGCAGUUUGGUAGCUCACAAGGCUCAUAACCUUGAGGUCACGGGUUCAAAUCCUGUCUCCGCAA
RNAcentral lists this transfer RNA (74 nucleotides) under Chloranthus spicatus. Its description in RNAcentral is "tRNA-fMet". It matches the Rfam family "tRNA". From Rfam's summary of the family: Transfer RNA (tRNA) molecules are approximately 80 nucleotides in length. RNAcentral also lists the same sequence under 21 other names. The record is from RNAcentral. Lineage: Eukaryota; Viridiplantae; Streptophyta; Magnoliopsida; Chloranthales; Chloranthaceae.